Molecule: ribosomal RNA, 405 nt
Filed under: Candidatus Cardinium hertigii
Lineage: Bacteria; Pseudomonadati; Bacteroidota; Cytophagia; Cytophagales; Amoebophilaceae
Description: bacterial SSU rRNA
Rfam family: Bacterial small subunit ribosomal RNA
Source: RNAcentral
CGUCCUAUUAGCUAGUUGGUGAGGUAAUGGCUCACCAAGGCUACGAUGGGUAGGGGUUCUUAGUGGAAGGUCCCCCACACUGGCACUGAGAUACGGGCCAGACUCCUACGGGGGCAGCAGUAGGGAAUAUUGGUCAAUGGGCGCAAGCCUGAACCAGCCAUGCCGCGUGCAGGAUGAAGGCUCUCUGAGUUGUAAACUGCUUUUGUACAGGAGCAAAAAAAUCCCUGCGGGGGUUCUUGAGAGUACUGUAAGAAUAAGCACCGGCUAAUUCCGUGCCAGCAGCCGCGGUAAUACGGGAGGUGCAAGCGUUAUCCGGUUUUAUUGGGUUUAAAGGGUGCGUAGGCGGCUUAUUAAGUCAGUUGUGAAAUCCUAGUGCUUAACGCUAGAACUGCGAUUGAUACUAUU